RNAcentral lists this transfer RNA (68 nucleotides) under Drosophila formosana. RNAcentral describes it as "tRNA-Tyr". It matches the Rfam family "tRNA". From Rfam's summary of the family: Transfer RNA (tRNA) molecules are approximately 80 nucleotides in length. Their secondary structure includes four short double-helical elements and three loops (D, anti-codon, and T loops). Further hydrogen bonds mediate the characteristic L-shaped molecular structure. tRNAs have two regions of fundamental functional importance: the anti-codon, which is responsible for specific mRNA codon recognition, and the 3' end, to which the tRNAs corresponding amino acid is attached (by aminoacyl-tRNA synthetases). tRNAs cope with the degeneracy of the genetic code in two manners: having more than one tRNA (with a specific anti-codon) for a particular amino acid; and 'wobble' base-pairing, i.e. permitting non-standard base-pairing at the 3rd anti-codon position. Lineage: Eukaryota; Metazoa; Arthropoda; Insecta; Diptera; Drosophilidae. The record is from RNAcentral.
GAUUAAGUGGCUGAAGUUUAGGCAAUAGAUUGUAAAUCUAUUUAUAAGAAAGGUUCAUUCUUAAUCGA